GACGAACGCUGGCGGCGUGCUUAACACAUGCAAGUCGAACGGAAAGGCCCUGCUUUUGUGGGGUGCUCGAUUGGCGAACGGGUGAGUAACACGUGAGUAACCUGCCCUUGACUUUGUGAUAACUUCAGGAAACUGGGGCUAAUACCGGGUAGGAGCUCCUGCUGCAUGGGGGGGGUUGGAAAGUUUCGGCGGUUGGGGAUGGACUGGCGGCUUAUCAGCUUGUUUGUGGGGUAGGGGCGUCCCAGGGCUUUGACGGGUAGCCGGCCUGAGAGGGUGACCGGGCUCAUUGGGCCUACGAGACGCCGCAGUCGGGUACCGGCCGCAGUAGUCGAGAGUAUUGCGGAACGAGCGGGAGCGAGAGAUGAAAGUGCCGCGUGCGUGAUGCCCGCCUUCUGGUGAUAAACAGCUGUGGACUGUGCCAAAGCGUGAGUGACGGUACUGGGUCAGAAAGCACCGGCUAACUACGUG
Molecule: ribosomal RNA, 468 nt
Filed under: uncultured bacterium
Lineage: Bacteria
Description: partial 16S ribosomal RNA
Rfam family: Bacterial small subunit ribosomal RNA
Source: RNAcentral